Triplophysa dalaica is the source of this 1828-nucleotide RNA transcript. It is a transcript of the gene named protein kinase, AMP-activated, gamma 3a non-catalytic subunit, with no coding region annotated. Lineage: Eukaryota; Metazoa; Chordata; Actinopteri; Cypriniformes; Nemacheilidae. The transcript is spliced from 13 exons. The record is from RefSeq and is a predicted model, not a curated record.
ACGUUUGCGUCUAACGGGGCUCGUGCAUACAGUGAAAGAGUGUCGCGCGCAUAUCGCAGAGGGCACGCGCUAUAUUUGGAAUAACUUGCGCGCUCCUACAUACCAGCUCUCGCGCUGUCGACCCGUGUCAAACCUUCAAGCCACUUUAAACCGGGUCCUUACAGAAACAUCCUAAAAUAAGUCUUCUCUUGGCUUCAGCUUGGUUCCCUCUUGCGUCUAAACGGAGCGUCUUGUCUUUCAGCGCGCAUGCGCGGUGCCAGGAAACGCAAGGGAACAAACACAAAUGGACAGCACGCAGGAGGAUUGCCAUGAAAACCAUAUAAUGAACAUCACAGACAGGACUGUGACCUGUGUGUGUGUUGAGUGUCUGUUGUGUGUCACAGCACAAAAUGCAGGUCUCCUGUUUCCCGCGGAUCCUGACCCCAAUGCAAAAGCUUACAUGACCUUCAUGAAAAAACACUGUUGUUAUGAUGCUCUUCCCACCAGCUGCAAACUGGUCAUUUUUGACACCUCACUGCAGGUGAAGAAAGCCUUCUUUGCUUUAGUAGCGAACGGUCUGCGGGCUGCCCCGCUUUGGGACAACAAACUGCAGAGAUUUGUGGGUAUGCUGACAAUCACAGAUUUCAUCAACAUUCUCCAUCGGUAUUAUAGGUCACCUAUGGUUCAAAUCUAUGAAUUGGAGGAGCACAAGAUUGAGACAUGGAGAGGUGAUUCAUUUCAAAAUGUUUACCUGCAAUAUCAAGAUCAAUGUCUCAUCAGUAUCUCACCUGAUGCAAGCCUCUUUGAUGCAGUUUACUUUUUACUGAAACACAAAAUCCACAGACUGCCCGUUAUCGACCAAGCUUCUGGAAACGUCCUUCACAUACUUACCCAUAAGAGAAUCCUCAAGUUCCUUUAUUUAUUUGGAGCGUCAAUACCACAGCCACGCUUCCUACAUAUGAAAAUUAAAGAUGCGGGAAUAGGAACGUUCACAGAUAUAGCCACAGUCCCACAUACCGCCACUGUCUAUGAUGCUCUGUCUGUGUUUGUGGACCGACGAGUGUCUGCGCUCCCUGUGGUGGACGAGAACGGUAGGGUGGUUGCUCUGUACUCCAGAUUUGACGUGAUUAAUCUUGCUGCACAGAAAACGUACAAUAACUUGAGCAUGAGCAUGAAGGAGGCGGUGCGGAGGAGACAAUGUUUUGUUGAAGGAGUCAUUAAAUGUUAUCCUGACGAGAUUCUGGAAACAGUUAUUGACAGAAUAGUUAAAGCAGAGGUCCAUAGGCUGGUGCUUGUGGACAGAAAUGACGUGGUCCGGGGAAUAAUCUCUCUCUCUGACCUGCUGCAGGCCAUAGUUUUAUCUCCAGCAGGUAUUGAUGCUCUGCUUUCAUAACCUGAGAGGAUAUAUUUCCUUCUCUUCCUUCAUGUAACCAACACUAGAAUCCAGAUAUUGAACGUGGACGAAGUAUGACUGCUGCCAAGAAGGAAGAUGAAAUGAUCUGAAAUAUAUCCCCUUCAAAAUAUUUACGUGACAAAGUUUAAUUUUGUACAUAAUGUUGUCUUUGUUGCGUUUUCGGUUAGGUUUGAGUUAAACAGUGAAUGCACUUGUACAUUUUUUUAUUUUAAAUGUGAAACAUGUCUUGUGAUGACAAUAAUUACACAGAAAACAACAGUAUGUAACACUUAGGCUUUGGUUUUGAUCAAAUUGAUCUAAAUUGUGGGCUACUGUCAGAUUAUCAUGUGUUUUUGUAAUAAAUUAUUUCCUGUUUCCUCUUUUGCUUAUCCUUUACUGUUUCCCAUGAUGCAACGCGUUCAAUUUGACAUUACAUUUCCAGUGUGAUAAAUGAGA